GUGCUCUCUUCAGCAACACAUAUGCUAAAAGUAGAAUGAUACAGAGAUUAGCAUGGUCCCUGCUCACGCGAGGGAUGACACGCAAAUUCAUGAGGCAUUCCAUAUUUUU
This is a small nuclear RNA of Zalophus californianus (California sea lion), 109 nucleotides long. Lineage: Eukaryota; Metazoa; Chordata; Mammalia; Carnivora; Otariidae. The record is from Ensembl.